GAACCCACGCCACAGCAGCGACCCAAGCUGCAGCAGGGGCAACCCGGAUCGUCAACCCCAGAGCCACCAGGCAACUCCUUCACAUCUCUUCUUUUCUCUGCACUUUACAAAUGAGGAAACUGAGGCACAGGGGAAGCAACUCGCCCGGAACCACCGAAGUCAGUACGUGGAAGAACUGGGAUUCACACCGCGCUCUCCCACUGCACGCCGCUGCCGCUGCUGCUGCUGGGUCCAGAGAAGCAGGACAGCUCGCCCAGGUCACGACACUGAAUCAGAGGCUCAGAACCCAGGCUUCCUUACUCCCUGCCCUGGACACAGCCAGGCCUGACUUACCAACCAGCAGCUUCCCAGGCAUGACCUCAGAGGGCUGGUUCUGGGCCCAGCUCCACCAUUCAUCGCCGAGAAGAACCGCACCCCAUCUCUGAGCCUCGGUUUAUCAACUCUAAACCAUAAAGAGGAAAGACACUUGGCUGGCAGUGCUCACUUCUGGGGGGCCAGUGUCUCCAUCCGUCACUGCCACAAGCCUUUUACGAACAAAGAUGUGACAUUCUCCGUCCUAAAGUGACCUUGGAGAUGUCUGGGCUGCUCCCCCAAGGUGAGUGCCAGCACUCCUGGGGGAGCAGGGGGAGGAAGGUGAGGCUUAUCCGUGGUUGUCUCCCCCUGUGUUGUGGGAGCAGGAAAAGGAGCUUCUGGACCCCGAGCCCCUGAAUCACUGCUCUCUCCAGAGGCUUCUGCAAAUGAGCCUCAACACCCCCAGUGUUUUCCACCCAAACCAAGGAACUGAAGUUUUUGGAAUCAGACCGAGUGAGAAAGUCAUGAGUCCAAUCGCCUGGUCAUUUAAAGCCCAGAGAAGUACAGGAUCUUGCCUGAGGUCACACAGUCAGCCGAGACUGAGGCCUGAGCUCAUCUAACUCCCUAAGGUACCAAGGGUCGGUGACAGAGGCAGUGCUGUUCUCAGAUGGCCUCCGGCACCUCCCAGCUGACAUCAGCCACAACCUGCACCCACGGCCACCACCCCCCAGAUGGUACCAGAUCCUGGGCACCUGCGGGCUGAGGGCCUGGGCUGGGCUGAGCGCUGCAGGCCAGACAGGGAGGAGCCAGACACAGGCCUGGCCCUGAGGACUCACUGCCCCAUGGAGGAGGGGAGAAAAUGACCAAAAAGGAAAGGGGACUCCACUAAAGAUUGUGCUGUACACCAGGGACAGACAGCGGUAAGCAGAACACAUACGGUCCUGCCCUGUAGAGAAAUGUCCUUUUAAUGUCACGCCUAAGUGCAGGUGAUGAGUGCUUGGAAGGGAAAGCUCAGGGACAGCGAGUUCCCCUAACGGGCCAGGGGAUCUGGUCUGGGCAUUGGGGAAGCCUUCCAGAGGCGUUAACAUCCACAGAAACAGGAAUUCACCAGACUGGGGCUGGCCCGCCAUCGGGGGUGGCACUCCUAGCAGUGGCAUCUGUGAAGGGGAAGCCUCUUGGGAGGGAGGCAGCUGGGAACCUUCAAAUCACUAGGAGCAUCCCCCGUGGGAGGCAUGAUGGCCCUACCGUGAAAGGCAGACCCGGAGGAGCUGGCAGCCAGAGACCACACAGGUGCCUGCGAGGCACGAGAAGGAAUUGGAAUCUGAACCAAAAAGCAUCAGUCAGCCCUGGACGGCAACUGCAGCACGGGCAGUGUUUUCAAAAGAUCCCAUCAGCCACAGUGUCCUGUGAGAGCAGAGAGAGAAGCCCAGCGAGGAGGCCGCUGGCACAGUCUGGGGGCGGAUGACAGCUCAGACAUGGCAGAGAGAGGUGGGCCCUGCAGCUGGAAGGAGCACCCACACGCCCCUGUGCUGGUCCCGCUGGGGAGGUGACAGAGGGAGCAGGAGGGGUCAGGCUGACUCGGUCCUGGGGAUGGGCCCCUGGCUGGCUGCGGUCACCGGCACAGACACCUGACCCCCACGUUCUGUUGGGAGGCUGUUUGUGUUUUAAGGCCUGGAAGGGAAGAGACUGAGUAGGCGGUAGGGUGUGCGGUUCUGAGCUGAGAGGAGAGAGACGUGUUGUGGCAGAGAGAGAGCAGACGUCAAGGCCACGGUGAGGCGGUGCGAGAAAAGAGGACGGCGUAGAAAGAAAAGCAGGAUAAAGGGAAAAAGCCCUGGGGGAGGAGGACGAGCCAAAGGCCCGAGAGAAAGCCGCCGGAACAACAGAGCAGAGCCCCAAAGAGGGUUCGGACAUUAACGCUCCAGGCCUUCGCACAAACUCCUCUCUUGGGCCGCUCCCACGGCAUGUGGAGGUUCCCAUCAGAGCUGUAGCCACUGGCCUACACCAGAGCCACAGCAAUGCGGGAUCUGAGCCGCGUAUUCGACCUACACCACAGCUCACAGCAAUGCCAGAUCCUUAACCCACCGAGCAAGGCCAGGGAUCGAACCCUCAACCUCAUGGUUCCUAGUCAGAUUCGUUAACCACUGAGCCAUGAAGGGAACGCCUAAAAUCCUUCAUCCAACCAGCCCGUGCCUGCUCUUUCAAAGGACAGCCGGGUCCAGGGUCCUCCAGGAAGCAUCCUUAACCCUUCUGCUCUGAGGAGACGAGGUCCUCAGGCUUCCCCAAGCCUCCUGGGCAGGAGCCCGUGGUGGAGGCAGCAAAGCUUUAGAGCUGGACAGGCUGCCUCCAAAAGCCUCCGUCCCCUCAGCUGUCAGAGGGAAUCAGGACUCUGCGGGGAUUCUGUUUCCCCUCAAGAUCAAAUGAUAUAAAGCAUAUGAAACCUAUACUGGUAAUAGGACUCAAUAAAUAGAAGCCGCAGCUCUCUUUGCUCUCAGCAUGUUGUACUGAUGUCUUUUUUUGUCCAUUGCUCCUGAUGAGCUCCUUUACCAGACAGGGUUUUACCCAUCUCGGCCUCCCUGUGCCUUGGCAUGGAGCCUGGCAUAGGACCUGGCAUAGAGUCUGGCACAGAGCAUGGCAUACUGACAUCAGAGUGAAGGGAUGCUUGGCGGGGACAGGACUUCCUGCAGGAAGAGGGCUGGAGCCAGGCUCUCGGGUCCCAACAUGCUCCUCCCCCUCCAUGCAAUGGCAGGGCAGGGGCAGGGGGUGAGCUUGCCAUGGGGAGCUGGGGACCACGUCUCAGCUGAAUUUCGAGUCACAUAACCUCUUUGACCUUCAGGCAGCCCCAGCCCUGUCACUCUCCAUCUGAGCUGGCAAAAAGUGAAACCCAAGCCCUGCCACAGAGCUGUCCCCAGUGAGCCCAGGCCGGCCCCACCCAGGCCUGGCCUGCCUGCCCCGUGCCUGCUUGGGCAGAGCAGAGCUGCUGGCCUCCUCCAGCCUGAGGUCCCUGGUGAUGUCUCUUCCAGCCUGGGCAGGGCCCGCCCUGUGGGCAGAGCUCAGACUCCAGAGCUGGGCUGGAAUCCACCCCCCCCUCAACAUCAGUGGGGGAGUCUGGGGAGCUUGGGCAGGUUCUCCACUCUCUGGGCCUCGCUUUUCCUGCAGACGGGGGGCUGCCAGGUAAACCACUGUGAGCAUUAACUUCUCCCGUAAUUAGAGGACAUAGCUCGUAGAAGGUGCUUCCCAAGCGCCCCUGCCCUCCCUUACCUUGAACGAACAGUGCCCUGGGGCAGGAAACAUCUACACCACAUGCCGGAGGCCCGCGAUGCCCUCGCCACCCAGCCCUCUCGCACGGAGACUGCGGGCACAGCACGUCAGGUUUUACUCCCAUUUUACUUACAAGAAAACCACAUCUUAGAAACUUUCCGAGAACAAGCGACCUAGUGCAUGAGCUGUAGCGCCUCUGACCCGUCUGACCUUUAGGUUCACGGCAGCAGUUACAGCAGGAACACAGCCCAGUUCCAGGAGUUGGGCGUCCCCGCUUCUGAACUUGGCAUCAUCUCUUCUGCCAGCAAGGCUCGCGGCCUCUGGCGGCUCCUGCAGCUCACUGAGCCUCCUCAAAGUCCAGAGGGCGCUGUAACACACCAGCCAGACCCACAACUCAUUCCUGUGCUUCUAACCAGAGCCUGGCACCUAAAGUUUGUUGAGUGACUAAAUGAAUGAAUUCCCAACUCUUUAAAAAAAUCCAACUUGGGGAGUUCCAGUCAUGGUGCACCGGAAACGAAUCUGACUAGGAACCAUGAGGUUGUGGGUUCGAUCCCUGGCUUUGCUCAGGGGGUUAAGGAUCCGGCGUUGCUGUGAGCUGUGGUGUAGGUUGCAGAUGCGGCUCAGAUCUGGCGUUGCUGUGGCUCUGUGUAGGCUGGCAGCAACAGCUCCGAUUCGAGCCCUAGCCUGGGAACCUCCAAAUGCCGUGGGUGUGGCCCUAAAAAGACAA
This 4276-nucleotide long non-coding RNA is filed under the name Sus scrofa (pig). RNAcentral describes it as "lncRNA (ENSSSCG00050037087.1)". Lineage: Eukaryota; Metazoa; Chordata; Mammalia; Artiodactyla; Suidae. The record is from RNAcentral.